This 76-nucleotide transfer RNA is filed under the name Rhizoctonia solani AG-1 IB. Its description in RNAcentral is "tRNA-Arg". Lineage: Eukaryota; Fungi; Basidiomycota; Agaricomycetes; Cantharellales; Ceratobasidiaceae. The record is from RNAcentral.
ACAGGCGAAGGCUGCGAGUUCGAGUCUCGUGCGUGGUAGCCGCGUUGGCUCAAUGGUAGAGCGUCGCCCUCCUACU